Molecule: long non-coding RNA, 789 nt
Organism: Oreochromis niloticus (Nile tilapia)
Lineage: Eukaryota; Metazoa; Chordata; Actinopteri; Cichliformes; Cichlidae
Exons: 2
Source: RefSeq, a predicted model, not a curated record
AGCUGCACACUGCCUUUGAAACACAUGUUCAACAAGAAGCCACAGAAACCUUUAUCACAUUAAAGUCUCAUUGUUUCUGUACAGAUUUUCAUGUAUUCACAUGUGUUUGGCUCCCAGAGUGUCGAUUCCUCCUUCUGUCUCAUCUUCCUCUGUUCUCUGUUACCUGGUCUUUCAGAGUACUGUUAGGGUGAUAUUCUGCCAAGUGUGAAGUUGAUGAGCUUCACAGUUACAACAGGUUAACAUGUCUGAAUAACAUGAUGAAAGUACAAGCAUGAACAUUUUAAACAUGUUUUUAUAUUUAUUUAUAUUUCAACAACAUGUUUUAAUCCAGCAGUUUAAGGUCGGGCUCAGACUAAAGUCUGUGCUAAGACGACACCAUUGCAAAAUGUUCAUUUUGUUUUUCAGAGGUGGGCUUUCUGCAUCAUUACCCUGUUGCAUAAUCUGAGUGAGCUAAAGGGCAUGAACUGAUAGCUUCAUAUUCUCCUUCAGGAUCAUCAGACAGGGAGCAGAAUUCAUGUUCAUCAAGUGAGACAAAUUGUCCAGAAGCAGCAAAGCAGCCCAGACCAUCACACUACAACCGCCAUGUUUGACUGUUGUGCACAGAUUAUUUUCCCAGAAGACUUGGGGAUCAUUGAGAUCAUUUUGGCAAAUGUGAGAUGAGCCUUCGUGAUCCUUUUGGUCAGCAGCAGUUCUCGUCUUGGGAUUCUCCCGGUGUUUGAGGAUGGAAGCAGGGUUCCUACAACUUCAGCAAAGUUGGAUUUAAGACUUUUUUUGUCACUCAAUAUUUAA